ACAGAGGGGGCGAGCGUUGUUCGGAAUUACUGGGCGUAAAGGGCGCGUAGGCGGCCUGCUAAGUCGGACGUGAAAUCCCUCGGCUUAACCGAGGAACUGCGUCCGAUACUGGAUGGCUAGAGUGUGGGGGAGGAAUGCGGAAUUCCAGGUGUAGCGGUGAAAUGCGUAGAUAUCUGGAGGAACACCGGUGGCGAAGGCGGCAUUCUGGACCACGACUGACGCUGAGUGAGCGAAAGCCAGGGGAGCAAACGGGA
This 254-nucleotide ribosomal RNA is filed under the name uncultured prokaryote. RNAcentral's name for it is "partial 16S ribosomal RNA". It matches the Rfam family "Bacterial small subunit ribosomal RNA", at positions 525 to 777 of the family's 1533-position model. The record is from RNAcentral.